RNAcentral lists this ribosomal RNA (335 nucleotides) under uncultured Arthrobacter sp. RNAcentral describes it as "bacterial SSU rRNA". It matches the Rfam family "Bacterial small subunit ribosomal RNA", at positions 1055 to 1387 of the family's 1533-position model. Lineage: Bacteria; Bacillati; Actinomycetota; Actinomycetes; Micrococcales; Micrococcaceae. The record is from RNAcentral.
UAUAUUCUGNCUGGGAGAUGUUGGGUUAAGUCCCGCACACACCGCACCCCUCGUUCUAUGUUGCCCACCCUUUAUGGGGGGGACUCAUAGGAGACUGCCGGGGUCAACUCGAGGAAGGGGGGGAUAACCUCAAAUCAUCAUGCCCCUUAUGUCUUGGGCUUCACGCAUGCUACAAUGGCCGGUACAAAGGGUUGCGAUACUGUGAGGUGGAGCUAAUCCCUAAAAGCCGGUCUCAUUUCGAAUUGGGGUCUGCAACUCGACCCCAUGAAGUCGGAGUCGCUAGAAAUCCCAAAUCAGCAACCCUGCGGAAAAUACUUUCCCGGGUUUUGUACACC